Molecule: non-coding RNA, 27 nt
Filed under: Homo sapiens (human)
Lineage: Eukaryota; Metazoa; Chordata; Mammalia; Primates; Hominidae
Source: RNAcentral
UGGUACUUGCAGCCACUUCGAUGAAUC